AGAGUUUGAUCCUGGCUCAGGAUGAACGCUGGCGGCGUGCUUAACACAUGCAAGUCGAACGAAGCAUUUGCGACAGAUUUUUUCGGAAUGAAGUUGCUUAUGACUGAGUGGCGGACGGGUGAGUAACGCGUGGGUAACCUGCCUUGUACUGGGGGAUAGCAGCUGGAAACGGCUGGUAAUACCGCAUAAGCGCACAAUGUUGCAUGACAUGGUGUGAAAAACUCCGGUGGUAUAAGAUGGACCCGCGUCUGAUUAGCUAGUUGGUGAGAUAACAGCCCACCAAGGCGACGAUCAGUAGCCGACCUGAGAGGGUGACCGGCCACAUUGGGACUGAGACACGGCCCAGACUCCUACGGGAGGCAGCAGUGGGGAAUAUUGCACAAUGGAGGAAACUCUGAUGCAGCGACGCCGCGUGAGUGAAGAAGUAAUUCGUUAUGUAAAGCUCUAUCAGCAGGGAAGAUAGUGACGGUACCUGACUAAGAAGCUCCGGCUAAAUACGUGCCAGCAGCCGCGGUAAUACGUAUGGAGCAAGCGUUAUCCGGAUUUACUGGGUGUAAAGGGAGUGUAGGUGGCCAUGCAAGUCAGAAGUGAAAAUCCGGGGCUCAACCCCGGAACUGCUUUUGAAACUGUAAGGCUGGAGUGCAGGAGGGGUGAGUGGAAUUCCUAGUGUAGCGGUGAAAUGCGUAGAUAUUAGGAGGAACACCAGUGGCGAAGGCGGCUCACUGGACUGUAACUGACACUGAGGCUCGAAAGCGUGGGGAGCAAACAGGAUUAGAUACCCUGGCAGUCCACGCCGUAAACGAUGAAUACUAGGUGUCGGGGCCCAUAAGGGCUUCGGUGCCGCAGCAAACGCAAUAAGUAUUCCACCUGGGGAGUACGUUCGCAAGAAUGAAACUCAAAGGAAUUGACGG
This 911-nucleotide ribosomal RNA is filed under the name uncultured bacterium. RNAcentral describes it as "bacterial SSU rRNA". It matches the Rfam family "Bacterial small subunit ribosomal RNA", at positions 8 to 916 of the family's 1533-position model. The record is from RNAcentral.